RNAcentral lists this ribosomal RNA (301 nucleotides) under uncultured bacterium. RNAcentral describes it as "partial 16S ribosomal RNA". It matches the Rfam family "Bacterial small subunit ribosomal RNA", at positions 509 to 807 of the family's 1533-position model. The record is from RNAcentral.
CAGCCGCCACGGUAAUACGGAGGGGGCUAGCGUUGUUCGGAAUUACUGGGCGUAAAGCGCACGUAGGCGGCUUGGUAAGUUAGAGGUGAAAGCCUGGAGCUCAACUCCAGAAUUGCCCUUAAGACUGCCGAGCUAGCAGGUGAGAGAGGUAAGUGGAAUUCCGAGUGUAGAGGUGAAAUUCGUAGAUAUUCGGAAGAACACCAGUGGCGAAGGCGGCUUACUGGCUCAUACUGGACGCUGAGGUGCGAAAGCGUGGGGAGCAAACAGGAUUAGAUACCCCCGUAGUCCCUGUCUCUUAUAC